Molecule: ribosomal RNA, 459 nt
Filed under: uncultured bacterium
Lineage: Bacteria
Description: partial 16S ribosomal RNA
Rfam family: Bacterial small subunit ribosomal RNA
Source: RNAcentral
CCUACGGGAGGCAGCAGUGAGGAAUAUUGGUCAAUGGCCGGAAGGCUGAACCAGCCAAGCCGCGUGAAGGACGAAGGUGCCAAGCAUUGUAAACUUCUUUUGUCAAGGGACAAAAUCAGGCUCGAGAGCCUGACCGAGGGUACUUGAAGAAAAAGCAUCGGCUAACUCCGUGCCCGCAGCCGCGGUAAUACGGAGGAUGCGAGCGUUAUCCGGAUUUAUUGGGUUUAAAGGGUGCGUAGGCGGACUGUUAAGUCAGCGGUAAAAGCCCGGGGCUCAACCCCGGCGAGCCGUUGAAACGGGCUGUCUUGAGAUGUCGAGAGGUAUGCGGAAUGCGCAGGGUAGCGGUGAAAUGCUUAGAUAUUGCGCAGAACUCCGAUUGCGAAGGCAGCAUACCGGCGGCGAUCUGACGCUGAGGCACGAAAGCGUGGGUAUCGAACAGGAUUAGAUACCCCUGUAGUC